AAAUUGAAGAGUUUGAUCAUGGCUCAGAUUGAACGCUGGCGGCAGGCCUAACACAUGCAAGUCGAACGGUAACAGGAAGCGCUUGCUGCUUCGCUGACGAGUGGCGGACGGGUGAGUAAUGUCUGGGAAACUGCCUGAUGGAGGGGGAUAACUACUGGAAACGGUAGCUAAUACCGCAUAACGUCGCAAGACCAAAGAGGGGGACCUUCGGGCCUCUUGCCAUCGGAUGUGCCCAGAUGGGAUUAGCUUGUUGGUGGGGUAACGGCUCACC
RNAcentral lists this ribosomal RNA (271 nucleotides) under Escherichia coli. Its description in RNAcentral is "partial 16S ribosomal RNA". It matches the Rfam family "Bacterial small subunit ribosomal RNA", at positions 1 to 269 of the family's 1533-position model. The record is from RNAcentral. RNAcentral also lists the same sequence under 20 other names. Lineage: Bacteria; Pseudomonadati; Pseudomonadota; Gammaproteobacteria; Enterobacterales; Enterobacteriaceae.